UGCUAGAUGAGUGGAGCACCUCUCAGGCUGGAACAUAGAAGAGUCGAAUGCUCAGGUUUCUGACCUCACCACUUUCCUGCAAGGCGAACUUCUUCACUGUCUCUCCCUCCAGCACUGCCCAGGAUGUAGAGUCUAGCAUUACUACUCAGGAGGCUUGUCACCAUGCUCAGGAAAGCAGUGUGCAUGUGCGAAGAGUCCAGGGUCUGGACACAGUGAAGAGGACUGAGAAUAAUGAAGACACAAUGGCCAGACCUAUCUCCAGGGGAGAAGCUCGUGAGUGUGGAGUUUUGAUCCGAGGAUUCAGAGAUGAAGACGGUACUACCCUUGAAGAAUUUACAAUCUAGUAAGAGUGAGUGACAAAGAGAGUGACACAGAAACACAAAAUUACAGUUAGGUGGAGGAACCAGGAUUAGGGUUCACUUUGAACCCGCCUGGCCCAGGCCCCCCAGUGACCACUUGUGGAAUAACAUUGUAUAGAAUGGGUCAAAUAGAAGUCAGGGACAGGAGAGAGAAAGCUGGUGCGCAGUCACAGAAGUCACUGCACUUUUGAGCAGCUUUAAAUAGGGCUCUGGUCAGCGGCUGCAUAGCAACCUUCUUCUUCAUUUGAAUUUACUCCCUGCAGAAUUAAUUGCUGAAGUCUUUCAAGAAGCAGUGGGGAAGUAUUGCUUGCCCUCAAGACUUUCUGAUUUGGUGAAGGUUGUGCUUAUGACGUCUCUGAGAGGAAGAUUUUAUAUCCUUUAUAUCUUUUAUAAAGCCUUUUAGAGUGCUUAAUUUAGAUAUGUGUACACACAAGCAUACACAGUAUGUGACGAUGUGAAUUUGGUUGUUUGACUGACUUGAAGUCUGAAGCCAAAGAGCAAAAUUGAUUUGGGGUUUCUAUAAGGCUGCUCUCGCUCUGCCCUAAAGGAAGAUGUGCCACGAGAAUGUCAAACGAUAGUUUAAAAGAAGAAAUGCAAGACCUAUCAUGGAAAGGUACAAGAUCCCGACGAUGAAUGUAACUGUACUGUAUACCUAAAAUGUACCAAUAAACUCAAUGAGGAAAAAAAAAGAAGAAGAAGAAAUGCAGAAUUAUGCAUUCCUCCUGGUUAUUGCGUAUAAAUGGCUUCCUUGCCUGAAAGAUCAUGUUCCAGGGGAACCAGCAAGUAACUGGCUUAAUACUGUUGGUCCCUGUGCCAUGGAGUGGACUGAGUUCUUCCCCGCGCUGUGUGGGGAUCGUGUCCACAAUGCCCAGUGCAGGAGGUGGGCAUUAAUUAAGGCUAAUGGCCUAUAAUUGGAGCUGCCUUUCUUCCUCCUCCCAUUCUCUGAGGCUGGGACUGUCAGAAGCCUAGUUUUCACUGAAGCGUCAUAAUUAACGCCGAGCCUAAUGUGAAAGACAGAUGAGGUUGAAACCCGAAAUAGCUCAGCGCUACCCAAGGGUGUGUGUGCGUGGAGCUGUGGGGAGCAGGCCUGGGAAAGAGGAGGUUGGCAUUUCAUUUGACCUCCAAAAGUUUCCCCUUCACAGAGGGAGUUUGGGGGUCAACACUGUGGUCCUCCCUUCACGUUCCUGGAGGUCAUAUUCUACAAUACUACAAUAGUCACUGAUGGACCGGGAUUUGAGAGUCCGGACUCUGGAAGUGCGGGAACCCCACACGGCGAGUCUCAAAUUGUCUGUGGUCCCUCUUUCUUAUUUGUAAGAGAAGAUUUUCUUUUGCACGAGGCUGAUAUCUUUUUUGGUUGGAAGCUCAGGGACCUGGGAGGGCUGAUAAAUGUAAUAAUGUCUGUAAAGCCUUAGGAGUGCCUUGGAAGAAAAUUCAAGGUAUUUCUCUUAUUACUGCUGGUAUUCCAAUUCCCUUGAACUCUGAGAACCCAUUUAAGUGAUUACUUCAUGAGGAGGCUAGCAGAAAAGCAAGACUAAUAUAUUUCUUCAUUCGGCAGCUCCCACACAGUAAAAGACCCUAGAUGCACUUAACAGUCACUAUCCUAUUCUCACUCUUUUCCCCAUGGUUCUGCUUAGUACAUAAUGAACUAAACACCUGUAAUUUAUCUCCGAAGAAAAUUAGAUUCCCUGAACCUUCCUGCAGGUGGCUAGCAGCACCCCUAGUGCACGUGCACUAGUAUUCCCUAACUUCUAUAAUGUUGGAGAACUUGGAGGAAGGUAAAGUAGGGGGAAUGCAUUUGCCGCAUCUCAACCUAGGAUGCUUGGAGAAAUGGGCAACAGCCAAAGAGAAAACUGUUAAACAGUCUCAGUUCUCUGAUUUCCUUGAGGACACUUUUUUUGGAUUAUUAAAGCAGAAAACUCAUUGGUUUAAUUUCCAUCCUGAGCCAGUGUUUAGAAGAGGAUCCCUAAAUGUAUGUAAUUUUCCUCUUCCCAACACAGGCAGGUACUAGAGGAGUGUCACAUGGUGCUAGAUGUAAAGAGAAGAGUAGGGAUUGUUGACAGGACUAAGGGACGAUUGACACGUUGGAGACAUUGACUUAUUAAACACACAGCUACAGGGUGCUCCUUGACUUGGCAAGCUUAAGCCAUGCAGCCUCCUCCCGAGCAGAUGAGAAAUGGCAUCCAGCUAUUCACAGCCACUGCACAUCCACAAAUGCUGGAGGCACCCACGUUCACAAAACAGCUGCUAUGUUUUUGUAGAUUGUUUUUAUGCCCCAGUGUUUUGUUUCAUUUUGUGAUCCUCUCAUUUGAGCAGCAAUCUACAGAGUCAUUAAGUUCCUUCAUCAUAAAUUUCUCUGGGUCAUUUGGAUUUUUAUUCUGAUGCUUGGCCAUACUGGCAAUUAAGACCUGUUCAGAUGGGCUUAAACUGUUAUCAGCCUUUGUUUCCUGAUUUGCAAACUCCCACUGACAUUUGGUGAUUUACCUGAGCUGAAAUAUUUGAAAAUACAAAUAGUCUGAGUCAGUGUAAGUAUCUUAGGGUUGCUUGGGGGAAG
This is a long non-coding RNA of Fukomys damarensis (Damara mole-rat), 2910 nucleotides long. Lineage: Eukaryota; Metazoa; Chordata; Mammalia; Rodentia; Bathyergidae. The record is from Ensembl.